ACGCAACUUCCGUUUAUUUUACAAAAUCAAAGUAUACGAAUUUUAUGACAAAAUAAGUUGUGAAAGUUUGAUUUUGUGGAAAUAAGCUUUAUGAGGUAGAAGUCCCAAACUGACACUUUGGAGAUAAACUAACUGUUAAAGGCUCACCUCCAGUGCACUGCCUUCCUCUCCUGCCCUAAACAACAAUCUAACCUUCACAAGAUGGAGAAGUUCUUACUUCAAACUCUAAUGCAUUUGAGAGUGCUCUGAAAACAAACAGAGGCUGGACUGCCAUCACCAGGACUGCAGCACCACGACUACUGACACAGGUAACACAUUCACCCAGCAUCCCCUCCCUUUAUAGCUGCAUCAACUAAACUAAACACGCCUCCACUGCUGGGACGGCGUGAUUUACUUCUUUGUUUCUUUUUUAAAAUAUCGCUUGUGUCGUUUGAAUGCACGAAAUUAUUAAUUCACGUUGUUGCAUGCAAGAACUGGAUCUUUCUGUGAACAUUAUUCUGCCGCCGGGUCUGAAAAGGUUGAGCUGAAUAAUGGUCUCAUUUAAGAGCGUUUCAAUUCAACCUUUGAACCUAGCGCAGAUGAUUGGGUUGUUUGCUUCCUUUCCCGUUUUUGCCAACUAACAUAAUUCAAGAUCGACUUUUCCUGUUGCUCUUAUGACUCAACAAACAAGAAAAAUAACUUUUGAAAUUGCAUCUCUUAGUCUCACAUUGCAUUGCUUUGGUGAAAUCUAAUUUGAGAGAAAAUGGCAACCCAGCUGUUCUUUUGAUAGAGAAUCACCAAAACAUGGGUUGCAUAGUCCAUCCUCAUCUACACAUCAAUGAGCUUUUCUCUUGUCUGCAAGGCUAUAAUUAAAGCUCUGUGCUGUGCUAGGGGUAAUUUAUCCUCCUUCUCUGGCUCUGUGCUGAAAUCAGGUAGCAGGGCAUGAUUGCAGUGGAUGGGGUGUUGCACUUUGCACAAUGCGGCCGCUUUGUGUCCUUCGAACUUGUGGAGCACAUGUGGAUGAGCUCCCAUUAAAUAUACAAAUUUAUUAUGCAAACAAAAGGGGUUAAUUAUCCACAUAUUUGUAUGCAGGGUGUAAAUGAAUUAUAUGGGGAAAAUGUGUUUCAUAGCAACCGUCUCUGGAAGGAAGGUCGGGUUGUUGUUUUUUGUUGCUGCUAUGAAGGUUAUGGUGCACUAUCAGAAUCAUCAGAGAGAGACGUCGGACCAAUGACCAGUUCAAAAUGGACAUUUUACUGCAAAAUUGAAUUUUUUUAUUUUAUUUUUAGGACUAAAGCAGGAUAUAAAAAUAAGAAAAGAAAAAUGAAUUCACUAAAGCUUUUUCAUAUGCAACAGCAUCGCCAUAUAGAGGUUUAAGCAGCAGACCAGAGAAAGUGAGAUCAUUCAUCUCCUCCAUAAUUAAUUGCUUUAUCUAGUCAAUUAGGCAUGCAUGUUAGCACCUGCACAUUCUCUGAAGACAAAGGAGAGAAUUAUUUCCCAAAGGCAAUAGUAGCUAACUCAUUUCAGCUUUAAUUUGUCAGAAUUUCAGCUUUAGUAUUUUGUCAAAAUGUUUAAAUGAAAAGAUCAGUCUAAUUUUAACAGCAUGGAGUAUCAGUUAUGUGGAUUUUAUUUUUAAUUUAUAAAAAAAAAAAAAAGCAACAACAGGGAAUGAAGAUGCUCAAAUUAUAUAUAAUUGAUAGAAAUCCUGAUCAGAAAUCCACCACAAAAUUAUGAACGGCUCAACAGUAAAUGUACUAAUAUGGUAGAAUCAUCACUUCUACGACAAAAGACUGCUUUGUAAAUUAUCUUCCUGAUUUGUCUCAAUUCCUCAGCUUAUACGAUAGCUCAGAAAAACUUGCUGCUGUAACAGAAACUAUGGACUUCCUCUUUUCUAUCACUUUAGACAAGGUUGCUCCUACCCUUAAAGAAAACAGUCAGCCAUGUUUCUAGCAUUUGUAAAACCACAUUUAUCUAUCUGAAAAAUAUAUCUAAGUUACGACCUAUGGUUUCAAUGUCCAAAUGCAGAAACGCUAAUUCAUGCGUUCAUGACCUCAAGGUUAGAUAAUUUUAUUGUAUCUAUUGGGUGUUUGCUCUGUGCGCUUAAUAAGCAAACUCCAUCUGGUCCAAAAUGCAGCAGCUGGAGUAUUUACUAGAACCAGGAAGUAUGAUCACAUUAGCCUGGUUCUGUCAACUCUGCACUGGCUUCCUGUUAAACAUCGUAUAGAUUUUAAAAUCUUGCUAAUUACUUAUAAAGCCCUGAUUGGUUUAGCUCCUCAGUACUUGAACCAGCUCUUAUCACAUUAUUGUCCUUUAUGUCUGCUGCAAUCUCAAAACUCUGGCCAUUUGAUAAUACCUAGAAUAUCAAAAUCAACUGCGGCCAGCAGAUCCUUUUCCUGUUUAGUGUCCAACAGUGAAAAAAUCUACCUAGCAUUGUUCGGGAGGCAGACACACUCUGUCAGUUUAAAUCUAGAUUAAAGAUCCAUCUCUUUAACCUGGCAUACAAAUAACACACAAUCACUUUUCUAUAAUUCAA
Cyprinus carpio (common carp) is the source of this 2509-nucleotide long non-coding RNA. RefSeq lists it as uncharacterized. NCBI's taxonomy places the organism in Eukaryota, Metazoa, Chordata, Actinopteri, Cypriniformes, Cyprinidae. The record is from RefSeq and is a predicted model, not a curated record. The transcript has 3 exons.